This 253-nucleotide ribosomal RNA is filed under the name uncultured bacterium. RNAcentral describes it as "partial 16S ribosomal RNA". It matches the Rfam family "Bacterial small subunit ribosomal RNA", at positions 524 to 776 of the family's 1533-position model. The record is from RNAcentral.
UACGAGGGGAGCAAGCGUUGUUCGGAAUCAUUGGGCGUAAAGGGCGCGUAGGCGGCUGCACAAGUCCAGGGUGAAAGCCCUCGGCUCAACCGAGGAAUGGCCUUGGAAACUGUGCGGCUAGAGUAUUGGAGAGGAAAGCGGAAUUCCAAGUGUAGCGGUGAAAUGCGUAGAUAUUGGGAGGAACACCGGUGGCGAAGGCGGCUUUCUGGACAAUCACUGACGCUGAGGCGAGAAAGCUAGGGGAGCAAACGGG